Carcharodon carcharias (great white shark) is the source of this 633-nucleotide long non-coding RNA. RefSeq lists it as uncharacterized. The transcript is spliced from 3 exons. NCBI's taxonomy places the organism in Eukaryota, Metazoa, Chordata, Chondrichthyes, Lamniformes, Lamnidae. The record is from RefSeq and is a predicted model, not a curated record.
AUUACGAUUAGGUUAUAGAUUAUAGUGCAGCUUUGUUUCAGGAGAGUCAGGUUUGAUUCCUGGCCUGUGCUGUGUCAGCUGAUCUCAACUGGUAUGACAGUAGGGGCAUUACAAUCGACGAUAAAAUCCUGACCUAAGGAACGGUAAAAAGUAACCAUGGUUCCAAUUCCUGAUCACUAGACAGGGGCCACUGCAAGAGCUACAGAUAAUGAGUGUUGCUGGCAAGAUUAGCAUUUAAUGCUCAGCUAUAGCUGCCCUAGGAAAAUGAUGGUUGGCCAUCUUCUUGAAUAGCUGCAAUCCAUGUGGUGAACGUGUUCCCACAGAACUCCUUAUCUAAGGAGUGCCAGGAUUUUGACCCAGCAACAAGCAUGGAACACUGUGUGCCCUGGGGCUGUUUACUGCUGACGUCAGAUGCCCAAAAAUCAAGCACAAAGCUCAAGAGACACAGGUGUACCAUGGUUUACAGGAGGCAUGUUUUGGGACUAUCAAAUGUGGAAAGAUGGCAACUGCAAGCAGAGAUCCAGAGGUUGUUACGGCAAGGAGAGAACAAAUGCCAGGUCUUGCCCUUUCUUUCCCACUCCUUGAUUGAUUGUAACAAGUAUUUUUGAAAUUGAUAAAGACAAAAGGCGUCAA